GCGAGUGUUACCGAGAGGCCAAAGGUGAUCGACUCAAGAUCGAUUCCCGUAGGGGUUCGCAGGUUCGACUCCUGCCACUCGCA
This 83-nucleotide transfer RNA is filed under the name Methanocalculus taiwanensis. RNAcentral's name for it is "tRNA-Leu". It matches the Rfam family "tRNA". From Rfam's summary of the family: Transfer RNA (tRNA) molecules are approximately 80 nucleotides in length. Their secondary structure includes four short double-helical elements and three loops (D, anti-codon, and T loops). Lineage: Archaea; Methanobacteriati; Methanobacteriota; Methanomicrobia; Methanomicrobiales; Methanocalculaceae. RNAcentral also lists the same sequence under 6 other names. The record is from RNAcentral.